UCCCCUCCCCCCUUUCCCCUUGCUCCCUCUCAGUUGCAGACUCUAGCGCGCCGGCCCCUGGAUGACAAUCACAUCCCAGCCGCAGCGAUCAGCUCCAACUUUCUUCAUUAGCUAACUACUGUUGGAGCCGUCACAUUGCUGAGGAUUUAUCGCAGCCAGGAUUGCCCUGGAACACAAGCCAAUCCGUUUAUGAAAAAUAAGAAAGGAGAUUGAAUAUUCGCUCAUUUAUUUCCUUUGUUUUCUUUCCACAGUAAAUAAUUGAGCGGAUAAAUAACGGAGAUAAGAGUACUAGGUGUGCAAUUGACUGCAUGGAGAUCCCUGCCCUACCGAGGUUUCGUCCCCUACCACUUUAGGAAACCCGGACCAAGUCUGAUAGGCGGAAACGACGAGGCUGCGGUGUGCCCCGGAGAGGAGACUACAACAGCAAUGUUAAGGAAGUGUGGAGUAAACACGGCCAGGUCCGGAGGAGGACUCGGCCAGCAGCAGGUGGGCAAAUUCUUCAGUCAGCAGUGGAUCUUCUAAUUACGAAAGAAGAAAAGGAGAAAAUUAUUCUGAAGAUUUAAGGUUCUAGUGUGGAAAUAUAAAGGUUUUCCCUGCAAAACAGUUGAGCUGGCUACUCAGAUGACUGUGGGCUGCAUUAGAAGCAUCUGGGAAGUAUCUUUUAGGUUAUACUCAGCACCCUGCAAUAACUUCCUUCCUGAAGUUGAUUAACUGGCUGCCAGAACUAAACCUCGAGGUCAGAAGACUUGUGGGUAACAACUGGAUUCCAGAACUCUGUCAGAGAGAGAUGAGUCCUUAAGAAUUGACUUAAGUGAUAUCUGUCAAUCUCAGAAGUUAUAUUCUUACAAUAAAUGUGAUGCUUUAUAAAAUACUGGAGCUACGAUUUCAUAUGCAAUUCAGUCAUCUGUGAAUGAACUUUUCUGCAAGUCUCCUUUCUUGUGCAUCUAGAUAAAAGGACAUUGAAAAAAUCAAGUUUUUAAAUAGUUUAAAUAUCCCUAAAUUCACCUGUUUCUACACUAGCCCCUGAGUUGUUAUAAAAGAUGAUUACUCUGUAUUGAAAUUGCCAGUUUUAUUGGAAAAAAUCAAAACUAGAAUAUUUUAAAAGCUUUUUGUUAUACUAGCUUUAAAAUAAAGUCAAUUGUGUUUUUAUGA
This is a long non-coding RNA of Phascolarctos cinereus (koala), 1152 nucleotides long. RefSeq lists it as uncharacterized. The record is from RefSeq and is a predicted model, not a curated record. NCBI's taxonomy places the organism in Eukaryota, Metazoa, Chordata, Mammalia, Diprotodontia, Phascolarctidae.